UACGGGGGGGGCAAGCGUUGUUCGGAAUUACUGGGCGUAAAGGGCUUGUAGGUGGCCAACUAAGUCAGACGUGAAAUCCCUCGGCUUAACCGGGGAACUGCGUCUGAUACUGGAUGGCUUGAGUGUGGGAGAGGGAUGCGGAAUUCCAGGUGUAGCGGUGAAAUGCGUAGAUAUCUGGAGGAACACCGGUGGCGAAGGCGGCUCACUGGCCCGGUACUGACGCUGAGGCACGAAAGCGUGGGGAGCAAACAGG
RNAcentral lists this ribosomal RNA (253 nucleotides) under uncultured bacterium. Its description in RNAcentral is "partial 16S ribosomal RNA". It matches the Rfam family "Bacterial small subunit ribosomal RNA", at positions 524 to 776 of the family's 1533-position model. The record is from RNAcentral.